UUCGGCAUCAGUACGUGUCCCACUAUCCGUGCAGGGUAUGGCCACGAGCAAGCCUACAGCUUAUACCUGUUGCCGUUCUCCGAUGAGUCAGGGCCGUACGCGAUGCGUUGGUAGAAUCGGGUGGUACUGUCGCCGCCUAAAAUCCACUCUCAUUAAACGGAGUCUCGGAUUUUUGUCGGGACAGGAUAUCAAUUCAUCCAGUCGCAAACGACGGAAAAUCUGGAUUUGUUGAAGGAUGCAUCUGUUGGAAAGGUUUUUAUUAAUAUACGGCGAAACAGUCUAACGUGAAUAAUAAAUGAGUACUGCAUUUCGAUAUUUUCGUAGCAAAAUAUCUUUGGAAGUGAAAUUGCUACAAUUUAUCUCUUAUCUGCGAAGAGAAACGAUUAUGUAAUUCAGACACAUUUCUUGCGAUAAUUCAUUAAUCUCCCCUUGCAGACUCCGGCCAGAUAUAUUUCAUCAUCAUAAUUGUGACGUUGAUAGAACUUCCGCGUAAAUUAGAUUAAAAUGCUGUUACAGUGUCAACGUGAUGUGAAAAUUACAGUUCCACCAAUAAGCUACAUUUUAUGUUCAAUCAACAUUCCUCCGUUUCUGGUGGGAAAAAUCGAUUAAAAAUACUCAAGGGGCACUUUUGUGCGCAUCAAGUUGGCUAUCAGAGAUACUGGAACAAUAACAAAGCGUCACAGAUUCAAUUUAGUCGGUGUGAACUACCAACAGACUACACGUGGAAUUCGUAAUGACUCUCGCCCAUAUAUUUGCGGCAAGUACUAGGACGACCGGGCAAGAACGAAAGUUCGUACUCACCAGAGUAUUUUCUGAUUGAAGACACUGCCGAAAAUGAUUGAUGCAAGGGUACUGUAAGUUCGGUGCACUCACAACCUCAGGGGAUGCGUGGAGGACAAACACUGCAAUCCCUAACAUCAUCGCAACUUCAUCCAUUUUCGUUUCAUCACAACCUGCAAUCCAAUCAUUAUGAAUGUACGUCGUAAUGAGGACCAACCUUGUGGAGAACAAAGCCUUGGAAGACCUUCCAUCACAUUCAGAGUGGCAGCAAUGAGCCUGCCACAUUCCUCCGAUGCUGUAUAUCCCCGAUGAGACAACACCGUUGUCGCACCACCUGGACUGGGAUUCAACGCUGGUAUUUGUCGUACGAGUAAGCACAAGCAAACUU
Molecule: long non-coding RNA, 1168 nt
Organism: Neodiprion virginianus
Lineage: Eukaryota; Metazoa; Arthropoda; Insecta; Hymenoptera; Diprionidae
Exons: 3
Source: RefSeq, a predicted model, not a curated record